GGGGAUAUAGCUCAGCUGGUAGAGUAUGUACCUUACAUGAAUAAGGUCCUGGGUUCAAUCCCCAGCACCACUA
RNAcentral lists this transfer RNA (73 nucleotides) under Ictidomys tridecemlineatus (thirteen-lined ground squirrel). RNAcentral's name for it is "Spermophilus tridecemlineatus (thirteen-lined ground squirrel) tRNA". It matches the Rfam family "tRNA". Rfam says of the family: Transfer RNA (tRNA) molecules are approximately 80 nucleotides in length. Their secondary structure includes four short double-helical elements and three loops (D, anti-codon, and T loops). Lineage: Eukaryota; Metazoa; Chordata; Mammalia; Rodentia; Sciuridae. The record is from Rfam by way of RNAcentral.